AAUUGACUAAAGAGCAAUACCUAUUAACAAGAUAAGGUGGAGAUUUUAUCACCCUUUCUUAGCCCAAAAACAAUCAACCAGCAUCCCGCAUUAAUCUAAGCCUAAUUAAAACUAAAUUUACAUUGGCCCUUAGGAUCAAUUGAGUUCAGUUUGAGUCUUAUGGUGAAAUUAAGUGCAAAGUAAAUUUGAACUCAUCCCUAAAACUGAUGUCUAAGAAAAGAGAUUAGAAAGGCUAAGCCUAAGUGAACUUGUGGUUAUUUAAUUAGAUCCAUUGCGAUUAGCAUGGGGAGCCUCCCAUGACCCCACC
This 307-nucleotide long non-coding RNA is filed under the name Elaeis guineensis (African oil palm). RNAcentral describes it as "long non-coding RNA (EGUI_LNC060424)". The record is from RNAcentral. Lineage: Eukaryota; Viridiplantae; Streptophyta; Magnoliopsida; Arecales; Arecaceae.